RNAcentral lists this ribosomal RNA (775 nucleotides) under uncultured Arthrobacter sp. Its description in RNAcentral is "bacterial SSU rRNA". It matches the Rfam family "Bacterial small subunit ribosomal RNA", at positions 8 to 796 of the family's 1533-position model. Lineage: Bacteria; Bacillati; Actinomycetota; Actinomycetes; Micrococcales; Micrococcaceae. The record is from RNAcentral.
AGAGUUUGAUCCUGGCUCAGGAUGAACGCUGGCGGCGUGCUUAACACAUGCAAGUCGAACGAUGAUCCCAGCUUGCUGGGGGAUUAGUGGCGAACGGGUGAGUAACACGUGAGUAACCUGCCCUUAACUCUGGGAUAAGCCUGGGAAACUGGGUCUAAUACCGGAUAUGACUCCUCAUCGCAUGGUGGGGGGUGGAAAGCUUUAUUGUGGUUUUGGAUGGACUCGCGGCCUAUCAGCUUGUUGGUGAGGUAAUGGCUCACUAAGGCGACGACGGGUAGCCGGCCUGAGAGGGUGACCGGCCACACUGGGACUGAGACACGGCCCAGACUCCUACGGGAGGCAGCAGUGGGGAAUAUUGCACAAUGGGCGAAAGCCUGAUGCAGCGACGCCGCGUGAGGGAUGACGGCCUUCGGGUUGUAAACCUCUUUCAGUAGGGAAGAAGCGAAAGUGACGGUACCUGCAGAAGAAGCGCCGGCUAACUACGUGCCAGCAGCCGCGGUAAUACGUAGGGCGCAAGCGUUAUCCGGAAUUAUUGGGCGUAAAGAGCUCGUAGGCGGUUUGUCGCGUCUGCCGUGAAAGUCCGGGGCUCAACUCCGGAUCUGCGGUGGGUACGGGCAGACUAGAGUGAUGUAGGGGAGACUGGAAUUCCUGGUGUAGCGGUGAAAUGCGCAGAUAUCAGGAGGAACACCGAUGGCGAAGGCAGGUCUCUGGGCAUUAACUGACGCUGAGGAGCGAAAGCAUGGGGAGCGAACAGGAUUAGAUACCCCAGUAGUCC